UACGUAGGGUGCAAGCGUUGCUCGGAAUCACUGGGCGUAAAGGGUGCGUAGGCGGGUCUUUAAGUCAGGGGUGAAAUCCUGGAGCUCAACUCCAGAACUGCCUUUGAUACUGAAGAUCUUGAGUUCGGGAGAGGUGAGUGGAACUGCGAGUGUAGAGGUGAAAUUCGUAGAUAUUCGCAAGAACACCAGUGGCGAAGGCGGCUCACUGGCCCGAUACUGACGCUGAGGCACGAAAGCGUGGGGAGCGAUCCGG
Molecule: ribosomal RNA, 253 nt
Filed under: uncultured bacterium
Lineage: Bacteria
Description: partial 16S ribosomal RNA
Rfam family: Bacterial small subunit ribosomal RNA
Source: RNAcentral